RNAcentral lists this ribosomal RNA (463 nucleotides) under uncultured bacterium. RNAcentral describes it as "bacterial SSU rRNA". It matches the Rfam family "Bacterial small subunit ribosomal RNA", at positions 329 to 793 of the family's 1533-position model. The record is from RNAcentral.
UUCCAGACUCCUACGGGAGGCAGCAGAGGGGAAUAUUGCACAAUGGGGGGAACCCUGAUGCAGCGACGCCGCGUGGGUGAAGGAGCACCUCGGUGCGUAAAGCCCUAUCGGCAGGGAAGAAAAGCGAACAGGUUCGCCUGGACGGUACCUGACUAAGAAGCCCUGGCUCACUACGUGCCAGCAGCCGCGGUAAUACGUAGGUGGCAAGCGUUAUCCGGAUUUACUGGGUGUAAAGGGCGUGUAGGCGGGGACGCAAGUCAGAUGUGAAAACCAUGGGCUCAACCUGUGGCCUGCAUUUGAAAUUGUGUUUCUUGAGUACUGGAGAGGCAGACGGAAUUCCUAGUGUAGCGGUGAAAUGCGUAGAUAUUAGGAGGAACACCAGUGGCGAAGGCGGUCUGCUGGACAGCAACUGACGCUGAGGCGCGAAAGCGUGGGGAGCAAACAGGAUUAGAUACCCGGGUAU